Molecule: ribosomal RNA, 500 nt
Filed under: uncultured methanogenic archaeon
Lineage: Archaea; Methanobacteriati; Methanobacteriota
Description: bacterial SSU rRNA
Rfam family: Archaeal small subunit ribosomal RNA
Source: RNAcentral
UCCGGUUGAUCCCGGCGGAGGUUACUGCUAUCGAGGUUCGACUAAGCCAUGCGAGUCGAAUGUAGCAAUACAUGGCGAACUGCUCAGUAACACGUGGACAACCUGCCCUUAGGUUGGGUAUAAACCCGGGAAACUGGGUAUAAUACCCGAUAGGUCUCGAUUGCUGGAAUGCAUCGAGAUUUAAAGCUCCGGCGCCUAAGGAUGGGUCUGCGGCCUAUCAGGUAGUAGUGGGUGUAGCGUACCUACUAGCCUACGACGGGUACGGGUUGUGAGAGCAAGAGCCCGGAGAUGGAUUCUGAGACACGAAUCCAGGCCCUACGGGGUGCAGCAGGCGCGAAAACUUUACAAUGCUGGCAACAGCGAUAAGGGAACCUCGAGUGCCAGGUUACAAAUCUGGCUGUCGAGAUGCCUAAAAAGCAUUUCAUAGCAAGGGCCGGGCAAGACCGGUGCCAGCCGCCGCGGUAACACCGGCGGCUCGAGUGGUAACCGUUAUUAUUGGG